GGGCCGCCGGGCUUGGUGGAGUUGGAGGACUUGGUGGCGUUGGUGGCGUUGGUGGCAUUGGUGGCGUUGGUGGCUUAGGAGUGUCUACAGGUGCCGUGGUGCCUCAGACCGGAGCGGGCGUCGGAAUUGGAGCUGGAGGGAAGCCAGGGAAAGUUCCGGGUCAGUGUGGAGUCUCUGGGGCUGGGGGACAGAGAUCAGGGAGGGACAGAGGUGCCCCAUGGGCCUGGGGGAGGAAGGGCAGGGCAGGGUAGGUGACCUCCAAACCCAAAACAUGGUCCCAUUCUCUGAAAUGGAACCAGAUCAGGAAGCGACGUAAGACAUGAGUGCUGGGGCAGGCUGUGGGGUGACAGAUGAGGAAACUGAGGCUUGGGAUGGACAGUCAGAGCGGAAGGGCCACAGCUGCAGGCGGCUGAGCUGGAGUGGCCCCCAGCAUCCUCUGACACCCAUCUGGUACUCACUGGGCUGCACCCAGCCCUUGAGGAAGUGACUUCAGGUUACUCAAUAGGCUGCCUGAGUGCGCUGAGGCCGCACAGCAGGAGGGACAUGUGGAAUCAGUUAGCAGAGGUGGGCUGGCCACGGGCCCGGUAAACAGGCUUCCAGAGACAGAAAUAAAUCCACACACAGAGGGUUUGCAGAUGACUUCCGAGACUUCGGAAGGAGGGCCACGGCCACCCCAAGUCUGCCCAGUGCCCUGGCAGCUAGAGGGCUGCUGGUCUGGGACCCCCGGUGGGAAGGUGGGGAGGGUCCUGGGUCUCAGCUGCUGAUGGGGCUCCUCUCUCUUCCUCUGACUGCAGGUGUGGGGCUCCCAGGUGUAUACCCAGGUGGAGUUCUCCCAGGCACAGGAGCUCGCUUCCCUGGGGUAGGGGUGCUCCCUGGAGUCCCCACUGGAACUGGAGUCAAGGCCAAGGCCCCAGGUGGAGGCGGAGCUUUUGCUGGAAUCCCAGGGGUCGGGCCCUUUGGGGGCCAGCAGCCUGGGGUCCCCCUGGGAUACCCCAUCAAAGCACCCAAGCUGCCAGGUGGCUACGGACUGCCCUACACCAACGGGAAGCUGCCCUAUGGAGUUGCUGGUGCAGGGGGCAAAGCCGGCUACCCCACAGGGACAGGGGUUGGCUCCCAGGCAGCAGCUGCAGCAGCUAAAGCAGCCAAGUAUGGUGCUGGAGGAGCCGGAGUCAUCCCUGGCAUCGGAGGGGGUGGCAUUCCUGGAGGAGCUGGCACCAUUCCCGGGAUUGGGGGCAUCGCAGGUAGCAUCACAUCCAGCAGGGGGUGGGCACGUCUUUGGGGGGAAAGGGCCUCAAUGCCUGUGGCUGUCUUUUCAGGGGCUGGGACUCCUGCAGCAGCUGCCGCUGCAAAGGCUGCCGCAAAGGCUGCCAAGUACGGAGCUGCUGGAGGCCUAGUACCUGGUGGGCCAGGAGUUAGGAUCCCAGGUGUCGGGAUCCCAGGUGUCGGGAUCCCAGGUGUCGGGAUUCCAGGUGUUGGGAUCCCAGGUGUCGGGAUUCCAGGUGUUGGGAUUCCAGGUGUUGGGGGCCCAGGUGUCGGGAUCCCAGGCAUUGCAGAUGGAGCAGGUGAGCUUGUGUGUGUGUGUGUGUGUGUGUGUGUGUGUGUGUGUGUGUGUGUGAGAGAGAAAAAUUCCAGGUGUUGGGGGCCCAGGUGUCGGGAUCCCAGGCAUUGCAGAUGGAGCAGGUGA
Molecule: long non-coding RNA, 1684 nt
Filed under: Fukomys damarensis (Damara mole-rat)
Lineage: Eukaryota; Metazoa; Chordata; Mammalia; Rodentia; Bathyergidae
Description: lncRNA (ENSFDAG00000033202.1)
Source: RNAcentral